This 258-nucleotide ribosomal RNA is filed under the name uncultured bacterium. RNAcentral describes it as "partial 16S ribosomal RNA". It matches the Rfam family "Bacterial small subunit ribosomal RNA", at positions 96 to 354 of the family's 1533-position model. The record is from RNAcentral.
UGGCGGACGGGUGAGUAACGCGUGGGUAACCUGCCCCAUACAGGGGGAUAACAGCCGGAAACGGCUGCUAAUACCGCAUGCACAUGCGGGGGCGCAUGCCCCUGGAUGGAAAGCUUUCGCGGUAUGGGAUGGGCCCGCGUCUGAUUAGGCAGUUGGCGGGGUAACGGCCCACCAAACCGACGAUCAGUAACCGGCCUGAGAGGGCAACCGGCCACAUUGGGACUGAGACACGGCCCAAACUCCUACGGAAGGCAGCAG